Molecule: ribosomal RNA, 399 nt
Filed under: uncultured Bdellovibrio sp.
Lineage: Bacteria; Pseudomonadati; Bdellovibrionota; Bdellovibrionia; Bdellovibrionales; Pseudobdellovibrionaceae
Description: bacterial SSU rRNA
Rfam family: Bacterial small subunit ribosomal RNA
Source: RNAcentral
CACAGGUGCUGCAUGGCUGUCGUCAGCUCGUGUCGUGAGAUGUUGGGUUAGGUCCCGCAACGAGCGCAACCCCUGCAUUUAGUUGCCAGCAUUCAGUUGGGCACUCUAGAUGGACUGCCGGUGUUAAACCGGAGGAAGGUGGGGAUGACGUCAAGUCCUCAUGGGCCUUAUGCCUAGGGCUACACACGUGCUACCAUGGUGGUCACAGAGUGAAGCGAAGCCGCAAGGUGGAGCAAAUCGCUUAAAAGCCAUCUAAGUUCAGAUUGAUCUCUGCAACUCGAGAUCAUGAAGUUGGAAUCGCUAGUAAUCGCGGAUCAGAAUGCCGCGGUGAAUACGUUCCCGGGCCUUGUACACACCGCCCGUCACACCAUGAAAGUCGGCUGUACCAGAAGUCGCUGC